This 492-nucleotide ribosomal RNA is filed under the name uncultured bacterium. Its description in RNAcentral is "partial 16S ribosomal RNA". It matches the Rfam family "Bacterial small subunit ribosomal RNA", at positions 29 to 507 of the family's 1533-position model. The record is from RNAcentral.
AGUGAACGCUGGCGGUAGGCCUAACACAUGCCAGUCGAACGGCAGCACAGUAAGAGCUUGCUCUUACGGGUGGCGAGUGGCGGACGGGUGAGGAAUACAUCGGAAUCUACUUUUUCGUGGGUGAUAACGUAGGGAAACUUACGCUAAUACCGCAUACGACCUACGGGUGAAAGCAGGGGAUCUUCGGACCUUGCGCGAGUGAAUGAGCCGAUGUCGGAUUAGCUAGUUGGCGGGGUAAAGGCGCACCAAGGCGACGAUCCGUAGCUGGUCUGAGAGGAUGAUCAGCCACACUGGAACUGAGACACGGUCCAGACUCCUACGGGAGGCAGCAGUGGGGAAUAUUGGACAAUGGGCGCAAGCCUGAUCCAGCCAUACCGCGUGGGUGCAGAAGGCCUUCGGGUUGUAAAGCCCUUUUGUUGGGAAAGAAAAGCAGCAGGUUAAUACCCCGCUGUUCUGACGGUACCCAAAGAAUAAGCACCGGCUAACUUCGUG